Molecule: long non-coding RNA, 353 nt
Filed under: Capra hircus (goat)
Lineage: Eukaryota; Metazoa; Chordata; Mammalia; Artiodactyla; Bovidae
Description: lncRNA (ENSCHIG00000006862.1)
Source: RNAcentral
CACCAAUAGAAGGGCAGGCAAGCGUCACCUGAAGAGAUGCAUGCAUCCGAAGAGUGCAGAGUGAUGCUGCAGAGAAAACAAGGCUGCCAUUGCUGGCUGAUGUCAAGAGAAGAAAAAUAAACCUGAGGGUGGAGACACAGACUGGGAGAGCCAGGAUUCAGUCCCAAGCAGCAUGGCUUUAGAAACCAUGCUUCUGGAUUUCCCUGGUGGGCUAGUGAUUGAGGCUCCGUGAUCCCAAUGUGGGGAGCCCAGGUUCAAUCCCUGGUCAGGGGCUUAGAUCCCACACGCCUCAACUAAGCGCUCACACGUGACGACUAAAGAUCCCUCCUGGCAAAACUAAGGCCUGGUGCAGC